RNAcentral lists this ribosomal RNA (792 nucleotides) under uncultured bacterium. RNAcentral describes it as "bacterial SSU rRNA". It matches the Rfam family "Bacterial small subunit ribosomal RNA", at positions 8 to 796 of the family's 1533-position model. The record is from RNAcentral.
AGAGUUUGAUCCUGGCUCAGAACGAACGCUGGCGGCGUGCUUAACACAUGCAAGUCGCGUGCGCAGUUGCCGUAGCAAUACGGUGAUGGGCGCACGGCGCACGGGUGCGUAACACGUGGGCAAUCUGCCCUCUGAUGGGGAAUAACCCGCCGAAAGGCGGGCUAAUUCCGCAUAAGAUUCCCGGAACUUCGGUUCUGGGAUUGAAAGCAGUAAUGCGUCGGAGGAGGAGCCCGCGCCCGAUUAGCUAGUUGGUGAGGUAACGGCUCACCAAGGCUAUGAUCGGUAGCUGGUCUGAGAGGAUGAUCAGCCACACUGGAACUGAGACACGGUCCAGACUCCUACGGGAGGCAGCAGUGGGGAAUCUUGCACAAUGGGCGAAAGCCUGAUGCAGCGACGCCGCGUGGGGGAUGAAGCAUUUCGGUGUGUAAACCCCUUUCGACUGGGAAGAAUGCCUCGCAAGAGGAGUGACGGUACCAGUAGAAGAAGCCCCGGCUAACUACGUGCCAGCAGCCGCGGUAAGACGUAGGGGGCCAGCGUUGUUCGGAAUUACUGGGUGUAAAGGGUUCGUAGGCGGUGCGGCAAGUUGGGAGUGAAAUCUCUGGGCUUAACCCAGAGGCUGCUUCCAAAACUGCUGUGCUCGAGUGUGAGAGAGGCUCGUGGAAUUGCAGGUGUAGCGGUGAAAUGCGUAGAUAUCUGCAGGAACACCCGUGGCGAAAGCGGCGAGCUGGAUCACUACUGACGCUGAGGAACGAAAGCUAGGGGAGCAAACAGGAUUAGAUACCCCCGUAGUCC